Molecule: non-coding RNA, 1648 nt
Organism: Chiloscyllium plagiosum (whitespotted bambooshark)
Lineage: Eukaryota; Metazoa; Chordata; Chondrichthyes; Orectolobiformes; Hemiscylliidae
Source: RefSeq, a predicted model, not a curated record
GGGCUCCGAGACCGGGAUUGAUUCGGGGCAAAUGAUUGAUGGACCAAGACAGUGUAAUAUUUCCUCAGUACAAAGCCGCGUGUGACCAGCUGCUUCUAACAACCAGCAGGGGAUGUCUCUUCUCUCAUUCUGCAGACAAUUACAUGAAGGAGCAAGACAGUAUAACAUUCUCUCGGUACGAAGCCAAGUGUGAUCAGUUCCUUCCAAUUAACAGCAGGGAAUUGGAAGAUGAUUUGCAAUGAGGAGACAUAAAACCAAGCAUCACUUCCCAAUUUGACCAAGCUGCCGAGUUUAUUGCCACCUGAAUAUCAUUGGGUUUUGAAGGAAAAAGCACCGUUCACAGUGGGGAGAGAAACCGUACGUGUGUUGUACACGUGGACAAGUCUUCAGCAGAUCAUUGCCCGUCACGAUAUAAAUACAGCCACACUGGGGAAAGGCCAUUCAUCUGUUCCAAGGGUGGGAAAGGAUUCACUCGAUCAUCCACCUUGCUGAAACCCGAGCAAGUUCACACAGAGGACAGACCUUUGAAAUGCUCAGAAUGUGGGAGGUGUUUUAAAAACUCUGGGGCACAGUAAUCCCAACAACAUCCUCACAGUGACGAGAGACCCUUCAUGUGCUCUCACUGUGGGUAUGGGUUCAAGCCAUCAUCCAACCUCAUUAAACACCAGCGGAUCCACACUGGGGAGAGACCAUUCACCUGAUCACUCAGGAAAGGAUUUUCUCAUAAAUCCAACCUGUUAAAACACCAGCGAUCUCUCGGAAGGUAGAGACUGUUCUGAUUUGACUGUGGGCAGAGAUUCAUUGUGAAAUCCAAGCUGCUGAAACACCAGCAUAUUCAUGAGAAAUGACAGUGCCUGGUUUUUACUGUGAACAUCUCCCUCCUUCAUAGUCUCAGCCAGAAGAUUUUGUUUCAAUUCCCACCUGAUAUGGAGCUAUGUCAAAGAACUUAAUUAGUUUUGUAAUUGAUAACUGAAUGAUAUCCACGGGGCAGGUUUCUACUGAAGUUAAUGAACUUCUGCUCAGUUAAAGGGAUGACUGUUCUGGAUGACAGUGAAAUAAAUGCACUGUGUGUUAAACACACUGUAUCAAACCUAUUUCUGAUUUCUAAGUGCUCAUUGAAGUAAUCUCCCUCUGAUUGUGUUAUGGAAGAAUCACUCAAUGUUUUAUAAAAAAUGACCAGGAGACACAGAAAAUCCUUCAUGAAAUUAAACUUUAAUCUUGCAAAAUCAAAGCUGUGGGAGCCAGCUAAAUGUCUUCUCUGGCUCUCCACAGGCUCUUUAUUUUCCUGCAAUUUAUACAGUUGUUCUUCCCGCGCUUAUCAGAUAACAUUAGCAUAACCAAUCAUGCUGGCUUGCUUUAUUUUUCUAAACUAAUCACCGUCUGCCACACUGCCUCAAUCACACUUAACCUGUCACAUUACAACUUCAUUGUUUUCAGUAUUAGCUCAUGUACCAGUGAUUCAGCUAACCUAUCAUUAUCUGUUACUGGAGCCCUGUAAUACAAUGCCAAGCAUGCAUUACAACACCAAGAUAACUACAUAACUGCCAGAGUAACUUCCAUAACUGAAGGAGUUGGAAUUUGCUGUUGAUCACAUCCAGCAUCCAAUUUGAUUCUUUGUAGAGUUUCUCAAUUGACUGUGUGGAAAUUC